UGGGGAAUAUUGCACAAUGGGCGCAAGCCUGAUGCAGCGACGCCGCGUGGGGGAUGACGGCCUUCGGGUUGUAAACUCCUUUCGCAACUGACGAAGCUUUUGUGUGACGGUAGGUUGAGAAGAAGCACCGGCUAACUACGUGCCAGCAGCCGCGGUAAUACGUAGGGUGCGAGCGUUGUCCGGAAUUACUGGGCGCAAAGAGCUCGUAGGUGGUUUGUCGCGUCGUGUGUGAAAUUCCGGGGCUUAACUUCGGGGUUGCAUACGAUACGGGCAUAACUUGAGUGCUGUAGGGGAGACUGGAAUUCCUGGUGUAGCGGUGAAAUGCGCAGAUAUCAGGAGGAACACCGAUGGCGAAGGCAGGUCUCUGGGCAGUAACUGACGCUGAGGAGCGAAAGCAUGGGGAGCGAACAG
Molecule: ribosomal RNA, 411 nt
Filed under: uncultured bacterium
Lineage: Bacteria
Description: bacterial SSU rRNA
Rfam family: Bacterial small subunit ribosomal RNA
Source: RNAcentral